Triticum dicoccoides is the source of this 1784-nucleotide long non-coding RNA. RefSeq lists it as uncharacterized. The transcript is spliced from 3 exons. Lineage: Eukaryota; Viridiplantae; Streptophyta; Magnoliopsida; Poales; Poaceae. The record is from RefSeq and is a predicted model, not a curated record.
CCUUGAGCUAUCAGAGGCAGCUGCCUCGGUCGCGCCCGGAGACGAAGCCGGACGACAGGAAACCUGGAGCAGCGCGGGCGAGCGCGAAGCGGCCCGGAGCAUCGAGGAAGAGCUCGUGGCCCGGCAAACCAGCGCAGAGCUUGAGGAGGAAGAGCGCGCCGCGUGGAGGGAUCGGGCGGAGGCCGAGCAGGAGAUGGCAGAGGCCUCGGCUGAGGCGUGGACGGGCGCCCUGGGGACACAAGGGAGGACCGCCGAGGACCCCACGUGGCCGGCUUGAAGGACAAACUCGUCGCCGCAGUCGCCGGCUCAGGAGCAUCGCUCGAAGUCGGUGCAUGAUCCGUUUUGCCGGGCAGAGGUCGAUGCCCGAGCCGCUGCCGACGUAGCCGGUUGUGGCGAGAUGGGCGACCAUGAGCCGAAGGCCGACCAGACCAUCACCAUGGAGUCGCCACCAGCUGUCGAUCCAGCCGAUGAGACCAAGCACGGAGAUGAAGGGGACCGCAGGAGACCGCGCCGACCGGUGGAGGAGUGUAGCCGUCGAGCACGGAGAGGCCGCACCCGGGGGUUCUGGCACCAUGGUUGUCACCAGGCCACAAACCACCGGGCGCGUUGAGCCGAGGCCGGCUGGAAGCGGGACUAGCGCCCGGUCCGCGACUCAGAUGCGGCGGACCUAGGAGGGUUCCGGCGAGGCCAUGAGCAGGUCGCGCACCAGCGAACUGGGUGUGGCGAUAGAUGCCAUGCGUCUGUAGUUUGCCGACAACCGCAUUCGCCUGCAGAACUAUAUUUAGGCAGAGCAGGAACGGAUGCAGCAGCUGGAGUGGACCAUAGAGACCUUUUAUGACCUGAGGGUGGCGGCCUACAACCGCCUUCUAGGUCGGUACCGUGAGGCCAGGACCCAGCUCAUCACCAAGGAGGAGCUGCGCCAAGCUCAAGGUGCUGCAGCUGAAGCACCGGAUCUCCAGAGCCGGCUAGACCAGGCCGGCUGAGAGCGCGACUAGACCGUGGCGGACCGUGACCGGCUUCAGGCAGAGGUGGGCCGACUAGCGGUGGAGCGGGACCAGACGGCGACCGCCCAUCAAGCCAAGCUGGACCGGCUUGCGUAGGAGCACCGCAAGGCGACAACCCAUAAGGAUGAGCAGGUGGCCACAACCGCCAAGAAGGUUGCCCAGCUCAAGGAGGACCACAACUGCCACGCCAACACGUGGUUGCUGAAGGAACAUCGAGUGCUGGCGGAGGUGCAGCACAUCGACGAGUUGCUCACCCGUAAGUGUUUUGUUUUACUUCUUUGUCUUUCCGAGUCCGGCUGGUGUGGUGGCUUGGGGCCGGUGCGGCAUGGCUUAUCAGCUUCGUGUUGUCUUGGUAUCCGAGCGUCGAUCUAGGCCGGUUGUCCGCCCGGCGAGCCGGGGCGGAAGACGACCUAGCACGGUUGGCAACGCCGAUCGCCACGCGAGCCAACUACAUUGUGUCAUUCACGCCCCCAUGACAGUUCGUCUCAGAACGGGCGGAAUACGGCACGGAGCUCCCUGCCGACAACUUCGGCCUAGUGCUUGAGGACCCGGUGGGCCGCUCGGCCGAGACAGGGUCCGAGGGGGACGUCGAUGUAGCCGCCAUGGACGACACCGACGCCUUAGAGGAGCCGGCGCGGACUGAUGCCGUCGCGGCCAUUGCGUUGAGCUUUUAGCUUUUCCUAUAUUUUGUUCUUAUGCUUGAACUUUUGAUUAUUUGGCAAGUCCACCCACUAGGUGUAAGUUUAUGUAAUGAACUUUUUGGCCGUGAGGUUGUAGAUA